UGAAUCACUUGUAAGAAAUGUGUAGUUGUUACUCAUUGUGCCUAAACAUCGUCCGCGCAAGCUGCAGCAAAAACAAAAAUGCCGAUAGGGCACACGGCGAUGACACUUGAAAGCGCUUCAGCUGCGAGAAUUUUCUUGCGCUGUCAAACGAUCGCAGCGUGAGAGCGAAAAGGAGAGGAACAUCUACUUCCGCUGUGGCUCGUCGUGCAAAUCGUCCUCUGCAGCGGCGAGGCGUCAUUGCAAAACGAGUGGUCGACGGUGAAAGGUGCGUGCGUGCCGUCGCGAGCGAGACACGCGGAAAAGUGGUGCCGGUCCGUCGAAAAGCAGAACAACUAAAGUGGGCUCGAAGCCAAACCCGGAAGAUCAAACGCGGCAAGGCGGAGCCCGGCGCAAAAUUCCGCGACAAGAAACGUCUCCAUCGCUCGAAGGCACGCCACGCAAUCUCAAGAUCUGUCCCACACUCGUCAUUCAGCGCUUGGUCGGUCGCUGCUGAACGAAUAAAAGGUGCCAGUCUCGCCCGGAAUCUGGCCAACACCGAACACCCCCC
Molecule: long non-coding RNA, 547 nt
Organism: Culex quinquefasciatus (southern house mosquito)
Lineage: Eukaryota; Metazoa; Arthropoda; Insecta; Diptera; Culicidae
Exons: 3
Source: RefSeq, a predicted model, not a curated record